UUCCUACGGGAGGCAGCAGUGGGGAAUAUUGGACAAUGGGCGAAAGCCUGAUCCAGCCAUGCCGCGUGUGUGAAGAAGGCCUUUUGGUUGUAAAGCACUUUAAGCGAGGAGGAGGCUACCGAGAUUAAUACUCUAGGAUAGUGGACGUUACUCGCAGAAUAAGCACCGGCUAACUCUGUGCCAGCAGCCGCGGUAAUACAGAGGGUGCGAGCGUUAAUCGGAUUUACUGGGCGUAAAGCGUGCGUAGGCGGCUUUUUAAGUCGGAUGUGAAAUCCCUGAGCUUAACUUAGGAAUUGCAUUCGAUACUGGGAAGCUAGAGUAUGGGAGAGGAUGGUAGAAUUCCAGGUGUAGCGGUGAAAUGCGUAGAGAUCUGGAGGAAUACCGAUGGCGAAGGCAGCCAUCUGGCCUAAUACUGACGCUGAGGUACGAAAGCAUGGGGAGCAAACAGGAUUAGAUACCCUGGUAGUCCAUGCCGUAAACGAUGUCUACUAGCCGUUGGGGCCUUUGAGGCUUUAGUGGCGCAGCUAACGCGAUAAGUAGACCGCCUGGGGAGUACGGUCGCAAGACUAAAACUCAAAUGAAUUGACGGAA
RNAcentral lists this ribosomal RNA (591 nucleotides) under uncultured Acinetobacter sp. Its description in RNAcentral is "bacterial SSU rRNA". It matches the Rfam family "Bacterial small subunit ribosomal RNA", at positions 336 to 918 of the family's 1533-position model. Lineage: Bacteria; Pseudomonadati; Pseudomonadota; Gammaproteobacteria; Moraxellales; Moraxellaceae. The record is from RNAcentral.